GAACUCAGAAGGAGGAGGCUGGA
Molecule: non-coding RNA, 23 nt
Filed under: Cricetulus griseus (Chinese hamster)
Lineage: Eukaryota; Metazoa; Chordata; Mammalia; Rodentia; Cricetidae
Source: RNAcentral